CCUACGGGGGGCAGCAGUGGGGAAUUUUGGACAAUGGGCGCAAGCCUGAUCCAGCUAUUCCGCGUGUGGGAUGAAGGCCCUCGGGUUGUAAACCUCUUUUGUCGGGGAACAAAGGCGCCCACGGGUGGGCGGAUGAGUGUACCCGAAGAAAAAGCAUCGGCUAACUCCGUGCCAGCAGCCGCGGUAAUACGGAGGAUGCGAGCGUUAUCCGGAUUUAUUGGGUUUAAAGGGUGCGUAGGCGGACAGUCAAGUCAGCGGUAAAAAUGCGGUGCUCAACGCCGUACAGCCGUUGAAACUGGCAGUCU
Molecule: ribosomal RNA, 305 nt
Filed under: uncultured bacterium
Lineage: Bacteria
Description: bacterial SSU rRNA
Rfam family: Bacterial small subunit ribosomal RNA
Source: RNAcentral